UAGGGAAUCUUCCACAAUGGGCGAAAGCCUGAUGGAGCAACGCCGCGUGUGUGAUGAAGGGUUUCGGCUCGUAAAACACGGUUGUAAGAGAAGAAUGACAUUGAGAGUAACUGUUCAAUGUGUGACGGUAUCUUACCAGAAAGGAACGGCUAAAUACGUGCCAA
Molecule: ribosomal RNA, 164 nt
Filed under: uncultured bacterium
Lineage: Bacteria
Description: partial 16S rRNA
Rfam family: Bacterial small subunit ribosomal RNA
Source: RNAcentral